CAACCCUCAAGCUCUGCUUGGUAUUGGGCUCUGCCGGUCCCGGCAGGCCCUAAAAUCAGUGGCGGUGCCAUCCGGCUUCAAGCGUAGUAAUUCUUCUCGCUUUGGAGGCCCGGGUGCGUGCUUGCCAGCAACCCCCAAUUUUUUUCA
This 147-nucleotide unclassified non-coding RNA is filed under the name Pseudeurotium ovale. Its description in RNAcentral is "partial internal transcribed spacer 2". Lineage: Eukaryota; Fungi; Ascomycota; Leotiomycetes; Thelebolales; Pseudeurotiaceae. The record is from RNAcentral.